This 1315-nucleotide ribosomal RNA is filed under the name Myroides odoratus. RNAcentral describes it as "bacterial SSU rRNA". It matches the Rfam family "Bacterial small subunit ribosomal RNA", at positions 70 to 1390 of the family's 1533-position model. The record is from RNAcentral. Lineage: Bacteria; Pseudomonadati; Bacteroidota; Flavobacteriia; Flavobacteriales; Flavobacteriaceae.
UAUAGAGAGCUUGCUUUCUAGAGACCGGCGGAUGGGUGAGUAACGCGUAUGCAACCUACCUUUUACAGGGGAAUAGCCCGGAGAAAUUCGGAUUAAUGCUCCAUGGUUUAUAUGAAUGGCAUCGUUUAUAUAAUAAAGAUUUAUCGGUAAAAGAUGGGCAUGCGUAUCAUUAGCUAGUUGGUGUGGUAACGGCAUACCAAGGCUACGAUGAUUAGGGGUCCUGAGAGGGAGAUCCCCCACACUGGUACUGAGACACGGACCAGACUCCUACGGGAGGCAGCAGUGAGGAAUAUUGGUCAAUGGAGGCAACUCUGAACCAGCCAUGCCGCGUGCAGGAUGACGGUCCUAUGGAUUGUAAACUGCUUUUGUACGGGAAGAAAUGUAAUUACGUGUAAUUAUUUGACGGUACCGUAAGAAUAAGGAUCGGCUAACUCCGUGCCAGCAGCCGCGGUAAUACGGAGGAUCCGAGCGUUAUCCGGAAUUAUUGGGUUUAAAGGGUUCGUAGGCGGUUGAGUAAGUCAGUGGUGAAAUCUUAUAGCUUAACUAUAAAAUUGCCGUUGAUACUGCUUGACUUGAAUAGUAUGGAAGUAAUUAGAAUAUGUAGUGUAGCGGUGAAAUGCUUAGAUAUUACAUGGAAUACCAAUUGCGAAGGCAGAUUACUACGUACUUAUUGACGCUGAUGAACGAAAGCGUGGGUAGCGAACAGGAUUAGAUACCCUGGUAGUCCACGCCGUAAACGAUGGAUACUAGCUGUUCGGUUUUCGGACUGAGUGGCUAAGCGAAAGUGAUAAGUAUCCCACCUGGGGAGUACGUUCGCAAGAAUGAAACUCAAAGGAAUUGACGGGGGCCCGCACAAGCGGUGGAGCAUGUGGUUUAAUUCGAUGAUACGCGAGGAACCUUACCAAGGCUUAAAUGUAGAUUGACAGGUUUAGAGAUAGACUUUUCUUCGGACAAUUUACAAGGUGCUGCAUGGUUGUCGUCAGCUCGUGCCGUGAGGUGUCAGGUUAAGUCCUAUAACGAGCGCAACCCCUAUUGUUAGUUGCCAGCGGGUCAAGCCGGGAACUCUAACAAGACUGCCGGUGCAAACCGUGAGGAAGGUGGGGAUGACGUCAAAUCAUCACGGCCCUUACGUCUUGGGCUACACACGUGCUACAAUGGCCAGUACAGAAAGCAGCUACCAGGCAACUGGAUGCGAAUCUCAAAAACUGGUCUCAGUUCGGAUUGGAGUCUGCAACUCGACUCCAUGAAGCUGGAAUCGCUAGUAAUCGGAUAUCAGCCAUGAUCCGGUGAAUACGUUCCCGGGCCUUGUACACAC